This 1490-nucleotide ribosomal RNA is filed under the name Lactiplantibacillus pentosus. RNAcentral describes it as "bacterial SSU rRNA". It matches the Rfam family "Bacterial small subunit ribosomal RNA". The record is from RNAcentral. Lineage: Bacteria; Bacillati; Bacillota; Bacilli; Lactobacillales; Lactobacillaceae.
GACGAACGCUGGCGGCGUGCCUAAUACAUGCAAGUCGAACGAACUCUGGUAUUGAUUGGUGCUUGCAUCAUGAUUUACAUUUGAGUGAGUGGCGAACUGGUGAGUAACACGUGGGAAACCUGCCCAGAAGCGGGGGAUAACACCUGGAAACAGAUGCUAAUACCGCAUAACAACUUGGACCGCAUGGUCCGAGUUUGAAAGAUGGCUUCGGCUAUCACUUUUGGAUGGUCCCGCGGCGUAUUAGCUAGAUGGUGGGGUAACGGCUCACCAUGGCAAUGAUACGUAGCCGACCUGAGAGGGUAAUCGGCCACAUUGGGACUGAGACACGGCCCAAACUCCUACGGGAGGCAGCAGUAGGGAAUCUUCCACAAUGGACGAAAGUCUGAUGGAGCAACGCCGCGUGAGUGAAGAAGGGUUUCGGCUCGUAAAACUCUGUUGUUAAAGAAGAACAUAUCUGAGAGUAACUGUUCAGGUAUUGACGGUAUUUAACCAGAAAGCCACGGCUAACUACGUGCCAGCAGCCGCGGUAAUACGUAGGUGGCAAGCGUUGUCCGGAUUUAUUGGGCGUAAAGCGAGCGCAGGCGGUUUUUUAAGUCUGAUGUGAAAGCCUUCGGCUCAACCGAAGAAGUGCAUCGGAAACUGGGAAACUUGAGUGCAGAAGAGGACAGUGGAACUCCAUGUGUAGCGGUGAAAUGCGUAGAUAUAUGGAAGAACACCAGUGGCGAAGGCGGCUGUCUGGUCUGUAACUGACGCUGAGGCUCGAAAGUAUGGGUAGCAAACAGGAUUAGAUACCCUGGUAGUCCAUACCGUAGACGAUGAAUGCUAAGUGUUGGAGGGUUUCCGCCCUUCAGUGCUGCAGCUAACGCAUUAAGCAUUCCGCCUGGGGAGUACGGCCGCAAGGCUGAAACUCAAAGGAAUUGACGGGGGCCCGCACAAGCGGUGGAGCAUGUGGUUUAAUUCGAAGCUACGCGAAGAACCUUACCAGGUCUUGACAUACUUAUGCAAAUCUAAGAGAUUAGACGUUCCCUUCGGGGACAUGGAUACAGGUGGUGCAUGGUUGUCGUCAGCUCGUGUCGUGAGAUGUUGGGUUAAGUCCCGCAACGAGCGCAACCCUUAUUAUCAGUUGCCAGCAUUAAGUUGGGCACUCUGGUGAGACUGCCGGUGACAAACCGGAGGAAGGUGGGGAUGACGUCAAAUCAUCAUGCCCCUUAUGACCUGGGCUACACACGUGCUACAAUGGAUGGUACAACGAGUUGCGAACUCGCGAGAGUAAGCUAAUCUCUUAAAGCCAUUCUCAGUUCGGAUUGUAGGCUGCAACUCGCCUACAUGAAGUCGGAAUCGCUAGUAAUCGCGGAUCAGCAUGCCGCGGUGAAUACGUUCCCGGGCCUUGUACACACCGCCCGUCACACCAUGAGAGUUUGUAACACCCAAAGUCGGUGGGGUAACCUUUUAGGAACCAGCCGCCUAAGGUGGGACAGAUGAUUAGGGUG